Molecule: non-coding RNA, 2311 nt
Organism: Camelina sativa (false flax)
Lineage: Eukaryota; Viridiplantae; Streptophyta; Magnoliopsida; Brassicales; Brassicaceae
Source: RefSeq, a predicted model, not a curated record
UAUGUACGUAUAGAGAGAAGAGUGACAUGUUCUGUUCUAUUCGGUAAUACAAAACAGAUAGAGAGAGAAAAAGAGAGAGAGCUUUGGAUUGUGUUUCCUCAGGUCGGCGUUGCUCCGGCGCGUCGUCACUCACGAACACCAUAUUCGGUUUUGUUCCAUCUCUAGCUAGCCAUUAAACCAACUUUGAGUAUUAAUCGGUGGUUUAUUCGACAUGGAUCUGGGAUCCAAAAUUGAAGAAAAUUCUGGUUAGUAGCUUCCUCCGUCAAGUCUCAACCGGAGAUCUUCAUCGCCUCUCCUUGCUUGCUUAGAAUCUUCAGUUCCAGAUCCACGAUGGCCUAGCAAGCAUCGUUGGUCGGCGUUGAAGAACGAGGUUGCAAACCAAAUCACCAUAUCCUCUGCUCCCGACUCUUCUUCUUCACCGCCGGCGAAGUCUCUCCUUCCCACGGCCGUUGAGAAAUCGCUGGUCUCUGUUCAUUCUACUACUCCGGUGGCAUCGAUAUCCAAAGUGGUGGAUGGUGUCUCGCCGGAAGAUACCACUGCUCUUCUCACGAUGCCGUAAGUCAACCUCCUCCGAAGAUUCCAUCAUUACCACUUAACGCCGAGCCUGAACCGGUGUCUUCAAGCAAGCUUUCAUCUGAACCCGUGGAGGUUGUUGUUGAUGCAUCUAACAAACCCAAUGCCCCUAAGGAUUUGGUUUCUCCACCUUUGAAAAGAGCUUGGGCGAAGAAGCUAAAGUAUACCUCUUCAUCCACCUCGCAACAAGCUGCGAAUGGAGUAACAAUCUCUGGACCGAGGAAAAAUCUUCCUGAAUCAUCACAGGAAGAUAAUCUAACGUUUCCUUGGGCUGCUAAAAUGGAUCCGGCAGCAAGAAAUCUUUACAGAGCUACCUCACCGGAGUAUAUGGAAGACGGUACUCCAAAAGUAACAAUUCCGAGUCAUGUCUUGUUGCAAGGUAUUGAGAAUCAGAAGGAAUAUGUUUUAGGUCAGUUCUAUAGAUGUAGUCCUCCUCCUAAUGGAUUGAUUCAUGCAGUGUUAAAUAGAAUUUGGGGUAGAAAGUGUAAGAUCUUUAUGCGCAAGUUAGAUGGUUCAAGAUUUCUCUUCCAUAUCCCAGAUGCUUCAACCAGAGCUUGGGUUUUCCAAAGAGGAAUAUGGCAUGUUGAUGAUUGUCUUAUGUUUGUUGCUCCUUUGUCUGAUGCAGAAACAUUUGAUCUCCUAGAGAUAUCAACUAUUCUUGUCUGGGUAACACUCAAAAAUAUACCACACAGGUUGUACUCAAUUCCAGGAAUUAGUCAUAUUGCAUCAGGGUUAGGUGCCCCUAUGGCUACGUAUAAAUCAAGACUUGACCCUUCCUUAAUGGGUGAGGCCAAGAUAUUGGUGGAAGUGGAGCUGAGUAAAGCUUUCCCUCCUAGGAUUGCUGCAGCUGACAAAAGGGGUAACAUUUCUAUGGUGAAUGUUGAGUAUGCUUGGAUCCCAGCGGUUUGUGGAGAUUGUGGACAAUUAGGGCAUAAGGCCUCCCGCUGUUUGCACCCCCAUCUGCCGAAUGAAAAAGUUACUCAGCUGGUUUGAAAAGAUGUCACCGCUCCUACUAUUGUAAGUAUUUCUAGUCUCUCUGCUUUGGUAUCACUAAUCACUCUUCCAUCUGAGCCUCCAGUUGCUCCCAUUACCACAACCACCAAAAUCCAACUCGGUACAGCUCUAGCAGUUGAGGCUAGCCCAAUCCAAGUCAUAGAGGAAAGCACCGAGGUGGCAGAUUGUCAUACAAUUGUUGAAGCUGGAAUUGUAACUGAGGCUGUUUACUCAGUUGAAACAGUUACUGAAAUAGCAGGCUCACAUGAACAUGCUCUUAGUGAACGUGAGGUAAGACAUGUCAUGACUAACAACAGGUUUAACCAUUUGGGGUCUUCGUUUUCAGAUGGAGAGUCACUUGAGUCAGAUGGAGAUUCAAUUGAGUCCGAUGAUUCCGACACUGAGUCGAGAAUGUUGGAUCAAAUGACUCCGGCUGGACAACGAAUUUUGCGUGAAAGACUAGUUCAACCUUCCAUCAAAGCUAAGGAGAUACAAGAAUCUUCUAAUGCUCGAGGAAGGGGUAACCGGGGACGUGGGAAUUGUGGACGCGGGAAUCGUGGACGCGGAAACCAUGGGCGUGGUUAGGUGUCCUGUCAUGAAGAGAUAAGAAGCUAACCGAAGCGGAAGAUUCGGUUACCAACUUUAUUCUACUUGUAAUAUGAGCAUCUGUCUGUAUUAAUUUCUUGUUUUUAAGAACUGUUUGUGUAGUCAUUGCUUCUGUAUCACGAACUUGUUAUAAAUAAAA